CAGGAACUAACAUUUCAUGAGAGUUUCUAAUUCUGAUGCUUCAGACAAGUGUAAGUCCUUGGCUACUUAAUCAAACCCAGGAUCUUCAGCAGGACUAUUUUAAUGAGAAAAGACAACCAGAAAGAACUUGUAGCACUGCAGCUAAACUGUUCCUGGGCCUUAUAUUCCAGCCAGAGCUGAAGGCACAUUUGCAGAUAAUACCAUGUGAGUGUCAUCAAAAGCUUCCAGAGGGAAAGGACACAACAGUG
This 248-nucleotide long non-coding RNA is filed under the name Parus major (Great Tit). Its description in RNAcentral is "lncRNA (ENSPMJG00000016898.1)". Lineage: Eukaryota; Metazoa; Chordata; Aves; Passeriformes; Paridae. The record is from RNAcentral.